Molecule: ribosomal RNA, 248 nt
Filed under: uncultured bacterium
Lineage: Bacteria
Description: partial 16S ribosomal RNA
Rfam family: Bacterial small subunit ribosomal RNA
Source: RNAcentral
ACGUAGGUGGCAAGCGUUAUCCGGAUUUAUUGGGUGUAAAGGGCGUGUAGGCGGGAUUGCAAGUCAGAUGUGAAAACUAUGGGCUUAACCCAUAGCCUGCAUUUGAAACUGUAGUUCUUGAGUGCUGGAGAGGCAAUCGGAAUUCCGUGUGUAGCGGUGAAAUGCGUAGAUAUACGGAGGAACACCAGUGGCGAAGGCGGAUUGCUGGACAGUAACUGACGCUGAGGCGCGAAAGCGUGGGGAGCAAA